GUGGGGAAUAUUGGGCAAUGGGGGCAACCCUGACCCAGCGACGCCGCGUGAGGGAAGAAGGCCUUAGGGUCGUAAACCUCUGUUGUGUGGGAAGAAGGAAGUGACGGUACCACACGAGGAAGUCCCGGCUAACUACGUGCCAGCAGCCGCGGUAAUACGUAGGGGACGAGCGUUGUCCGGAAUUACUGGGCGUAAAGGGCGCGUAGGCGGUCAUUUAAGUCAGCUGUGAAAUGGUCCGGCUCAACCGGAUCAUGCGGUUGAAACUGGAUGACUGGAGUGCUGGAGAGGCGAGUGGAAUUCCCAGUGUAGCGGUGAAAUGCGUAGAUAUUGGGAAGAACACCGGUGGCGAAGGCGACUUGCUGGCCAGCAACUGACGCUGAGGCGCGAAAGCCAGGGGAGCAAACGGGAUUAGAAACCCGGGUAGUCC
RNAcentral lists this ribosomal RNA (427 nucleotides) under uncultured bacterium. RNAcentral's name for it is "partial 16S ribosomal RNA". It matches the Rfam family "Bacterial small subunit ribosomal RNA", at positions 354 to 796 of the family's 1533-position model. The record is from RNAcentral.